GGUUUAACCGCAUGACUGCCGGUUGUGGGAUGCCUCGAGACACCUUUUUGUACGCUCUCUAUUCUAUGGUCUCACCACUGACUCUCAUUAAGCCACUAUUUUCAGUUCUUUAACCCUUCAGCUUUCAACUUUCAACAGCUUUCUUCUUAAAUCUGCACACACUAUCCCUUUUCUGAUGACACCCUAAUUUGAUCCAAACGACCCAAUUGUAAAUUCCCAAUCUUCUUAGCUGCAACUGAUACCCAAAGAAGCUGAUAGAUAUCUGAAGCGUGAGUACUUAUGGAGUUGUAUUCAAAGCCAUAGAUAAUCUGUUUUUUUCACCCCUUACAUGUCAACGCAAUUAUGCGAAUUCCUUUUUUAGUUCCUGAAUUUGAUUUGAUUUAGGGAGUUUGUUUCAUAAAUUUGCUUUAAUAAUCUUUACUUCCCAUAGUUAUUUAUGAAGAAUGAUAUUGAGAUGGGUAACCCUUCCUUAGUUAGUUAGUUUGAGGGAGUUAGUUAGAGAGUGAGAGAGCUCAUGUUACAAAUAAGGUAGGGUUAGAGACAGAGGAUUAGGAUCAGUUAAGAUCUGUUCUUAAAACAGUGUAUUGAAAUUGUACUUUACCAAUGCAUGUAGGAACAUAGACUCACAGAUGAUACUACAAUGCAUAGUAUCUACAUUAUCAUGUAUUGAAUUAUCUAAAUAUCAUGUAUUUAAGAUUACAUGCGUACAAUAAUUAGAUAAUUCAAAUGAUAGUAUCUACAUUAUCAUGUAGUAUUAUUUUGUUUAGAUCUUCAUUUGUUUUUCUGGGACAUGUGCGAUAAUUUUUUAAAGAAGCCAUAAGAAGGGAUCUUACCUUAAAUAUUGUCAUUGAAAAUUUAAUUUUAUUUAGCCUAAUGGUCUUAGUAGAUUUAUGACGGUGAUCUCACCAAGUUGGAUGAUUUUUUGUUACAAUGAUCAAAUCUUCCUUCAACAGCCAUACUUUGUUGGAAGUUGGAUGCACAAUGAGUAAACAUAAUUACUUGGCAUGGGUGUGAAAUUCAUGAUUUCAAUAGUCAUUUGAUUGGCUACUAGUUCUUCCUUACUAAAUACUAAUUACAAGCCCACUUUAGCAAGAUUUCAUCUCAGACAAAAACAAAAAGUAAUUACAAUGCCCAAAAGUUCUCAGAUGCAAAAUCUCUGUAAUUUACUUUCUAAUUCAUGAGUCUUCCUCUCACAAUCUUUAUGCUGGUGCUUGUUCCCUGUUUGGAGCUAUUUGAAACAUUAGUUUUGGCGGCUGGUUUUGUUGUCAGCUUGAUAAAACCAACAGCCAUAAAUUGAUUAAGCAACUUGUUCCAAUUUUUCACAUUGUAACAUGCUGUUACUGAGUGUAGCGGUUGGCGUGAUGAUUGAGCGCUCAACUCUGCCUUGAGCUUUGCUUGCCUAAUAAAGAACAAGAGUUAUAUGAAUGUCAUAACAAGACAGUGUGUAAAUGAUAAUGGAGAACAAAAUUUUCUGAAAUUGCUUACCUCUUCCUCCCAUUUUGUUCUCAUAACGAAGACUGUGUAAAAUAACACUUGCACAACAAAUGCAGAUAUGAUCCCCAACCACAGCCCCUUUUUGACAGAGAAGAACACAGUCAGCACCUGCUAGGAAAAGAAAAAGCUUACAAAGGUAAAUUUCAAGUUUUACCUUGGCCUUCAUGUGUAGAAGAAAUGCUAAUGCAACAGCACAAGGAAC
RNAcentral lists this long non-coding RNA (1696 nucleotides) under Lotus japonicus. RNAcentral describes it as "long non-coding RNA (LJAP_LNC001339)". Lineage: Eukaryota; Viridiplantae; Streptophyta; Magnoliopsida; Fabales; Fabaceae. The record is from RNAcentral.